UGUCCUGUCUCCUCCUGUUCCUCUUGUCUCUUAUCCUUUCUCAGGCAUUGAGACAGCUGCAGAGACCGCAGAGCUUCCUGAGGCAGAGCAAAGCAAUCACUGUGCGGGCUGGGCCAGCCCUGGCAGCUGCGGCUGCUCCUGUGCGGCCGAAGCAGCGAGCUGCUGUGAGCAGCGGGCCUCCAGACGAUGGCCUGGCAAACGCAGCCCUCUCCUCGCUGCUCUCCCGCCUCUUCUCCACCUUUCCAUGCUCAGAGCCAUCACUUGACGUCCCACAAGUUGGCGGCUCUCCCAGCGCGGGCGCUUCGUCGGCAAACAUGCAUUUAGCCUCAGCCAGGGGGACGCGCGCCUUCACUAUCGCAUUUCUCCACGGGACAGUGGUGGCCGCUGGCAGCAGCAGAGGUGUCUGGAGGAAGAGGGAUGGUGACGACAACACGGUGCACAGCCAAGAUGAGAUGUUCACACAUUCCUGGAAACAACUCAUUGCGUAAAGCAACAGGAAGCUAUUUCUGGAGAGGAGAAAGAGAUGCUCACAGGCUGUGUUUUCGGGGAGGUGUCGGGUCCCUGCUCUGUUGUGGUGCUGGCAAUCGGAGGCUGUGCGGAGGCUGCGGGAGGACCUGGAAUUCAUCUGGCUGCAGCAGCCGGCCAGGGCAAGGAAGGGCCUUGCAUCUGCUUUAAAA
Cygnus olor (mute swan) is the source of this 677-nucleotide long non-coding RNA. RefSeq lists it as uncharacterized. The transcript is spliced from 2 exons. The record is from RefSeq and is a predicted model, not a curated record. Lineage: Eukaryota; Metazoa; Chordata; Aves; Anseriformes; Anatidae.